This 453-nucleotide ribosomal RNA is filed under the name uncultured Porphyromonadaceae bacterium. RNAcentral's name for it is "partial 16S ribosomal RNA". It matches the Rfam family "Bacterial small subunit ribosomal RNA", at positions 341 to 792 of the family's 1533-position model. Lineage: Bacteria; Pseudomonadati; Bacteroidota; Bacteroidia; Bacteroidales; Porphyromonadaceae. The record is from RNAcentral.
ACGGAAGGCAGCAGUGAGGAAUAUUGGUCAAUGGGCGGAAGCCUGAACCAGCCAAGUCGCGUGAAGGAUGAAGGUAUUAUGUAUUGUAAACUUCUUUAGCAGCAGAGUAAUAAGGGGGUCGUGACCCCCGAUGCAAGUAUGCUGAAAAUAAGGAUCGGCUAACUCCGUGCCAGCAGCCGCGGUAAUACGGAGGAUCCGAGCGUUAUCCGGAUUUAUUGGGUUUAAAGGGUGCGCAGGCGGUUUUUUAAGUCAGUGGUUAAAUCGUGAGGCUCAACCUCAUCACGCCAUUGAUACUGGAAGACUUGAUUGCGGUUGAGGUUGGCGGAAUUCGUCGUGUAGCGGUGAAAUGCAUAGAUAUGACGAAGAACACCGAUUGCGUAGGCAGCUGACCAAGCCGUAAAUGACGCUCAUGCACGAAAGUGCGGGGAUCGAACAGAAUUAGAUACCCUGGUA